Molecule: long non-coding RNA, 536 nt
Filed under: Homo sapiens (human)
Lineage: Eukaryota; Metazoa; Chordata; Mammalia; Primates; Hominidae
Description: non-protein coding lnc-NKAIN3-14:8
Source: RNAcentral
AAUGCAUCCCUGGAUCAUAGCAGACUCUGCCUAUAGAGGCCUGGGGUCCCUUUGGCAGCACUUUUCUCAAGAAAGUAGAGUCGUGGACAACCAACUGCACAGGUUGGGAGGCUUUGAAGAACAAGCUGCCAUGAAUCCUGCAGCUACAAGGAAAUGAACUCUAUUAACUUGAGUGAGCUUAAAACUAGAUCCUUCCCCAGUCAAGCCUCCAGGUGAGAAUUCAAUCCUGGCUGGCACCUGGAUUGCAGCUUACAGAAGACCCAGCUAAGGCCAUGUCUGGACUUUAAAUCCACAGGAACUGCAAGAUGGUAUCAGAAGUGGGACCUGCAGUGGGGCAUCUAGCAACCCCCAGGAGCAUUGAGUGACCAGGCUUGGGACCCACCGGGCGCAGGGUGUCCAUUGUUCUCUCGAAGCAACUGAGAAUUGUGGAUAUUCUUCAUUAUUCCAUCAUCAUCUCAAACCUCUUGGGUAUAGUGUUUGACUACUACUGUGACCAUAAAUUCCAAUAAAACCUAGGAAAAAUGAAACCACUACAU